RNAcentral lists this unclassified non-coding RNA (319 nucleotides) under uncultured Thelephoraceae. RNAcentral describes it as "sequence contains 5.8S rRNA gene". Lineage: Eukaryota; Fungi; Basidiomycota; Agaricomycetes; Thelephorales; Thelephoraceae. The record is from RNAcentral.
GAACGCACCUUGCGCCCUUUGGCUAUUCCGAAGGGCAUGCCUGUUUGAGUAUCAUGAGCACCUCAACUCUCGUGGCUUUGCCCAUGAUGAGCUUGGACUUUGGGGGUCUUGCUGGUCUAUAGUCAGCUCCUCUAAAAUGAAUCAGCUUGCCAGUGUUUGGUGGCGUCGCAGGUGUGAUAAAUAUCUAUGCUUGUGGAUUUCCAUCAGAUAACCUUCAGUGAUGAAGGUUCACUGGGGCUCACAAAUGUCUCUCCUCAGUGGAGAUGGCUCUUUUGAAUGUUUGAUCUCAAAUCAGGUAGGACUACCCGCUGAACUUAAG